GGGGGGAAGGAAAAAAAAACUGGGGAGAACUAGGCGGCUUUCUGAUCAGAGUUCAGAUAAAAAGGGUCACAGUAAUUUGUGGGCACUGACUAAAAUAACCCAAUGGAUUUGAGAGUUACCGCAAAAGAAGCAAACAGACAAACUAAAGAGGGACUUCAGCCAUGAACUUGGUGAUGAGCCAGAGAAGGUAACUUUUCAUCCCCUACAAGACCUUAAAGAAGAAAGCCUUAAAAACCCUUGAGUGAAUGGUUGGUAUUUACAGACAAGCAAAUGUAUGGAAGAGAAACGAGAGACCCAGCCUGAAUCUGUUGAAUGAACGAAAGGGGAAAUGCCCUAAGGAGUCAGAUGGAAGAAGUUUUUCUGGGAAGAGCAGAACACAGGAGUUGGGGUGCAGACCUCCUGGAUCACCAGCAGAAGGAAAAGAGCAGUGAGACGUUAAAGUGAUUGAGACAAAAAUGGAAGUAAAACAGCUUAAGGCUUUCUGAGAUCGAGUUCCUGGCAGUGUCAUCAGCAGAUGGUUUCUUCUGAAGUUCAGGGGAAGAGAAGAUGCUCGAAGAACUCUCCAGGGACUGAGUGGGUGGUACAGAGCUAGUGCUGUAGAUGCCAUGUAUACAGGCAAAUUCCCCAAUGAGUGUUUUCCAAUAUCAAGUUUAACUGGCAUUUAAGAUAUAUGCCAAAGGUAGGUAAAUUAUUUUGGCCUGUGCUUAUAGGUUUAUUUCCCUGGAUGAAGCUUUCUGUCUCUGUCCUAGUGCACUGUAGCAGAUGCAGGGUCUUUCCAUACAAUACAUUAAAAGCUGCAUCUCAUUUUAAAUAUAUUAUAGAAACCCUGAUCAUACAAUACAUACAAGAUUUUUAAGAUCAGCCUUCAGUCGAUUUUUUUGCUUUAUUUUUGUUCUGGAGGUCAAAAUGAGUGGUUAACUGUCUAAGUUGAUUGCAGAGAAAGUUACUACUCAUUCUAAACGUAGGUUUUUAGAAAAGUGUUCUUGGCAGUUGCUACCAUUGGCUUUUUCCAACUUACAUGGGAAUCAAGAUUCAGAACUGGUACACCAAUGGGAAGAGCCUGGAAAAUAGACUAUUGAUCAAGAUGAAUCUGGUCCAGAUACUUUAAGACCUUUUCAGUGUGUUUUUAAGAUUAUAAGUUUGAACUAACAGAAACUUCAAUGCUGUUUUUUCACAAGUCAAUGUGUAGUGUACUGUUAUUCUUUUUUUUCCUGUAAUAUCUUAAUAAUAUUCCUGGCUGUAAGAAAAAGUUAACACUAUACCUAUGUUUUGACUUACUUUAUAGAAGACCCAAACAAUAUUUAACAAAAGGAUUUUUCUCAAAUACUAUUUUGAAAUCACUAUAUUAGACACUAUCUUAAAUUUAUUUCUCAAUUUGCUUCUUUUUGAAACUUCCACAUUUUGGUGUUCUUUUCAGCAUCACUCAUUUUCUUUCAUAAUAAAGAUACCCAAUAACAAUAUCAUAAUAAAGAUUUGAUAACAAAUCUCCAGUUUUGGAGUGUUACAUUUCAUAUCUACAUGCUUACAGAGAAUUUAGUAUGAAUAUUCCCUGGCCUUAGUUCCUCUAAGCCUAGGAUACUUGUAGUCAUUUGGCAAAUAAUUUAAUCCAUGGCAAACAUGAGUCUUAAUACAAAAAUUAUUGAGUAGGCAAAAAAUAAUUGAACAUAUUUUGGACUGAUUACCAGUGCAUUAAAAAAGUAGAGGUUUAAGGAUGAGAAUAAUAAGUUUUUUUGUUUUUACUUAAAUUUAUAUAAAAGGAGUGAAAAUACAGUAGCCUAUAGUACUUAAGAGUGUGGGUAUAUUUUCAGCACUUAAUAAUUACUAGUUGAAUUGCAUAAUAUGGGACUAUAACUGAUAUGGUUUGGCUCUGUGUCCCCGCCCAAAUCUCAUGUUGAAUUAUAAUUUCCAAUAUUGGAGGAGGUACCUAGUGGGAGGUGACUGGAUCAUUGGGGGAAAUUUCCCCCUUGCUGUCCUCAUGAUAGUGAGUGAGUUCUCACAAGAUCUGAUGGUUUAAAAGUGUGUGGCAUUUCCCCCUUUACUCUUUCUCUCUCCUGCUGGCCAUGAGAAUAAGUGCUUGCUUCCCAUUCACCUUCUGCCAUGCUUGUGUUUCCUGAGGCUUCCCAGCCAUGCUUCUUGUUCAAGCUGCAGAACUGUGAGUCAAUUAAACCUCAUUUCUUCAUAAAUUACCCAGUCUCAGCUCUUUAUGGGAGUGUGAGAAUGGACUAAUAAAAUAUCUCUAGAAUUAUGUUUUUGGAGAUAAUUUAAAGAUAAACAAAUAUUGGAAACCUCAUUUGAUCACACAGAGAACAGUAAAUGGAAGUUCUACUUUUUCUCCAGGGCCUUUCUCAUGCUUAUGCAGGGAUUAUUCACCCAGAUAUCCUGAAAUAAGACAUCCAAUUAAGGUACCUGCUAUCUCAUGUAACACAGAAGAAAGUUGAGCAUAGAGGUUAAACAUUACCUAAUAUUGUUGGAAAAGCUUCGAAGCGUUCAUUUUCAAAGCAGCUAAUGUAAACCAUGAUAAUCACUAGUAGCACUAUGCCAUUUUAAAUACUUCAAUAUUUUGUAGUUAUUAGAUUCUAAGUAAGUAUAAAAUGUAGUGAAUACAAAUUUUAUUUGCCUAAACAGUGUUAGACAAUAUAAAUUAACGAGUUAUUUUUUAUUCUGUUUAAUAUUUUCAAGCCAAUAAACACUUUACUAAAGUAUAAAGUA
This 2709-nucleotide long non-coding RNA is filed under the name Homo sapiens (human). RNAcentral describes it as "long intergenic non-protein coding RNA 402". Lineage: Eukaryota; Metazoa; Chordata; Mammalia; Primates; Hominidae. The record is from RNAcentral.